Molecule: long non-coding RNA, 337 nt
Organism: Pelodiscus sinensis (Chinese soft-shelled turtle)
Lineage: Eukaryota; Metazoa; Chordata; Testudines; Trionychidae
Source: RefSeq, a predicted model, not a curated record
UUUUUUAAAGACCACUAACCAAAACAGGAUGUUUCCCCUCUCUGAAGGACAGGUUCAAAGGGUGCUAUUCACAUUGAAGAUGCUCUAUCCAUAUGAACAAGGAUUUCAAAAGUAGCAGGAAAAUUCCAAAUUGCCUUGCUGGAUUAAAACAUUCUUCUUUGAUGAGGGAUGCUGUCGAGUUUGCAAUGAGCCAUUCAGCAACCAUGGAAGAAGUCUUCCAAUGCACUGCUGGCCUAUCUAGAACAAGAUUGUUAAGAUAGAUGCUGCUUCUAUCCCAAUCUGGACAUGCAUUUAUGGGAAAUACACAGCCAUGAGUAAUAAAGGCUUUGAAAACGGC